UGUGCUGUAGCGCGUGGUAGCGCGUUGACUUCUAAUCCAAAGGCGUGGGUUCGAAUCCCACCAGGAUAA
Molecule: transfer RNA, 69 nt
Filed under: Trichonephila clavata
Lineage: Eukaryota; Metazoa; Arthropoda; Arachnida; Araneae; Nephilidae
Rfam family: tRNA
About the family: Transfer RNA (tRNA) molecules are approximately 80 nucleotides in length.
Source: Rfam by way of RNAcentral